Molecule: ribosomal RNA, 512 nt
Filed under: uncultured bacterium
Lineage: Bacteria
Description: partial 16S ribosomal RNA
Rfam family: Bacterial small subunit ribosomal RNA
Source: RNAcentral
GAUGAACGCUGGCGGCGUACCUAAUACAUGCGAGUCGAACGAAACUUCUUUAUCACCGAGUGCUUGCACUCACCGAUAAAGAGUUGAGUGGCGAACGGGUGAGUAACACGUGGGCAACCUGCCCAAAAGAGGGGGAUAACACUUGGAAACAGGUGCUAAUACCGCAUAACCAUAGUUACCGCAUGGUAACUAUGUAAAAGGUGGCUAUACUACCGCUUUUGGAUGGGCCCGCGGCGCAUUAGCUAGUUGGUAGGGUAAAGGCUUACCAAGGCAAUGAUGCGUAGCCGAAUUGAGAGGUUGAUCGGCCACAUUGGGACUGAGACACGGCCCAAACUCCUACGGGAGGCAGCAGUAGGGAAUCUUCCACAAUGGGCGGAAGCCUGAUGGAGCAACGCCGCGUGGGUGAAGAAGGUCUUCGGAUCGUAAAACCCUGUUGUUAGAGAAGAAAGUGCGUGAGAGUAACUGUUCACGUUUCGACGGUAUCUAACCAGAAAGCCACGGCUAACUACGUG